RNAcentral lists this unclassified non-coding RNA (247 nucleotides) under Borreliella burgdorferi (Lyme disease spirochete). RNAcentral describes it as "partial 5S-23S ribosomal RNA intergenic spacer". Lineage: Bacteria; Pseudomonadati; Spirochaetota; Spirochaetia; Spirochaetales; Borreliaceae. The record is from RNAcentral.
GAGUUCGCGGGAGAGUAAGUUAUUGCCAGGGUUUUUAUUUUUAUACUUUAAACUUUGAUUUUAUUUUUAUGUUUUUUAAAUAUUGGUGUUUUUGAAUGUGUUGUUUAAAUAACAUAAAAAAUAAAAUAUAUAUAUUGACAUGCAUUAAACAAAGAUAUAUAUUAUUUUAUGUUGUAUAAAUAAAUUGGCAAAAUAGAGAUGGAAGAUAAAAAUAUGGUCAAAGUAAUAAGAGUCUAUGGUGAAUGCC